This 482-nucleotide ribosomal RNA is filed under the name uncultured bacterium. RNAcentral's name for it is "partial 16S ribosomal RNA". It matches the Rfam family "Bacterial small subunit ribosomal RNA", at positions 30 to 507 of the family's 1533-position model. The record is from RNAcentral.
AUUGAACGCUGGCGGCAUGCUUUACACAUGCAAGUCGAACGGUAACAGCACUUCGGUGGCUGACGAGUGGCGAACGGGUGAGUAAUACAUCGGAACGUGCCUAGUAGUGGGGGAUAACUACUCGAAAGAGUAGCUAAUACCGCAUGAGAUCUAAGGAUGAAAGCAGGGGACCUUCGGGCCUUGCGCUACUAGAGCGGCUGAUGGCAGAUUAGGUAGUUGGUGGGAUAAAAGCUUACCAAGCCGACGAUCUGUAGCUGGUCUGAGAGGACGACCAGCCACACUGGGACUGAGACACGGCCCAGCCUCCUACGGGAGGCAGCAGGGGGGAAUUUUGGACAAUGGGCGCAAGCCUGAUCCAGCAAUGCCGCGUGCAGGAUGAAGGCCUUCGGGUUGUAAACUGCUUUUGUACGGAACGAAAAGCCCUCUUCUAAUACAGGAGGGUCAUGACGGUACCGUAAGAAUAAGCACCGGCUAACUACGUG